Molecule: non-coding RNA, 117 nt
Filed under: uncultured Sphingobacterium sp.
Lineage: Bacteria; Pseudomonadati; Bacteroidota; Sphingobacteriia; Sphingobacteriales; Sphingobacteriaceae
Source: RNAcentral
UAUAGGGGUGCCUUGUUAUUUGCAAACACAAAGAAAGGCUGAGAUUAUACCCGGUAUCGGAUUUUACGCCGAUGCGCACCUGAUCUGGAUAAUGCCAGCGUAGGGAAGGGAGGUUAA